AUGUCUGAAUCAGUAAAUCUGAAUGUUUACUACGGCGCUGGUAAUGUUCGAUAUAAUGAGUUGGGGGUUGAUCUUAGCGAGUUUAAAAAUGGCGUCAUGACACUAGCAGACCCGGACAGACUGGACAUUAGACAGUUGAAGUAUUGGUUGACAACUAGUUUCGGGCUGGAUCCUGAAGUAUGUUCCGUCAGUAUUCAUGCAUUGUGGACCAAAUCUUGUAAAAAUGUCAAGUGGGAGUUGAUGCCGAUAGAUAGGAGCCAGCAUUGGUUGUCCCUGUUAAGACACUGCCGAGACCGAAGAAUCCACCCUAUGCACUUGUGCAACCUGUGCCGAAGGAGGAGAAUACCGUACAACUCCACAGGGGGUAUGAACCCGGCCAAGGCAGUGAAGUGGCUAAUGAGAUUGUUUUAUCCGGGUCACAACCACAAGAUGUGGAUGCUAGCCAACCUGAGAAAGAGUCGGACUACGUGCCACACACUGUUUGUGGUCCUAAUACUGGGCAGAGUAGCCAGUCGAUAA
Molecule: ribosomal RNA, 519 nt
Filed under: Triticum aestivum (bread wheat)
Lineage: Eukaryota; Viridiplantae; Streptophyta; Magnoliopsida; Poales; Poaceae
Description: partial small subunit ribosomal RNA
Source: RNAcentral